Molecule: ribosomal RNA, 305 nt
Filed under: uncultured bacterium
Lineage: Bacteria
Description: bacterial SSU rRNA
Rfam family: Bacterial small subunit ribosomal RNA
Source: RNAcentral
UCCUACGGGACGCAGCAGUGGGGGAUAUUGCACAAUGGGGGGAACCCUGAUGCAGCGACGCCGCGUGGGUGAAGGAGUGCUUCGGCAUGUAAAGCCCUAUCGGCAGGGAAGAAGCAAGACGGUACCUGACUAAGAAGCCCCGGCUAACUACGUGCCAGCAGCCGCGGUAAUACGUAGGUGGCAAGCGUUGUCCGGAUUUACUGGGUGUAAAGGGCGUGUAGCCGGGUUGACAAGUCAGAUGUGAAAUCCUGCGGCUUAACCGCAGAACUGCAUUUGAAACUGUUGAUCUUGAGUACUGGAGAGGG